Dermochelys coriacea (leatherback sea turtle) is the source of this 244-nucleotide long non-coding RNA. RefSeq lists it as uncharacterized. The transcript is spliced from 3 exons. NCBI's taxonomy places the organism in Eukaryota, Metazoa, Chordata, Testudines, Dermochelyidae. The record is from RefSeq and is a predicted model, not a curated record.
GAUGAAAGAGGAAGGCGAGACAGCAAAGGAUGCUCUGCCUAUACAGUCACUGUACGUAGAGUCCUUGGAAGUCCUGGGGAAGCUAAUGAAGACUUUGCUGGAGGAAGAACCAACCGCACACUGCUUCUGGGAAAUGUUUCAACUCCUAGAGACAUGGCUCAGUUCAGGGAAGGGGUGGGAGAGAGAAAGGGCCUUGCAGGCCACUAUCCAGCUGCUGACUGCCUAUCAAGAGACAGUUAAUAGC